AUUGAACGCUGGCGGCAGGCCUAACACAUGCAAGUCGAACGGUAACAGGAAGAAGCUUGCUUCUUUGCUGACGAGUGGCGGACGGGUGAGUAAUGUCUGGGAAACUGCCUGAUGGAGGGGGAUAACUACUGGAAACGGUAGCUAAUACCGCAUAACGUCGCAAGACCAAAGAGGGGGACCUUCGGGCCUCUUGCCAUCGGAUGUGCCCAGAUGGGUUAGCUAGUAGGUGGGGUAACGGCUCACCUAGGCGACGAUCCCUAGCUGGUCUGAGAGGAUGACCAGCCACACUGGAACUGAGACACGGUCCAGACUCCUACGGGAGGCAGCAGUGGGGAAUAUUGCACAAUGGGCGCAAGCCUGAUGCAGCCAUGCCGCGUGUAUGAAGAAGGCCUUCGGGUUGUAAAGUACUUUCAGCGGGGAGGAAGGGAGUAAAGUUAAUACCUUUGCUCAUUGACGUUACCCGCAGAAGAAGCACCGGCUAACUCCGUG
This 489-nucleotide ribosomal RNA is filed under the name uncultured bacterium. RNAcentral's name for it is "partial 16S ribosomal RNA". It matches the Rfam family "Bacterial small subunit ribosomal RNA", at positions 30 to 507 of the family's 1533-position model. The record is from RNAcentral.